Molecule: ribosomal RNA, 524 nt
Filed under: uncultured bacterium
Lineage: Bacteria
Description: partial 16S ribosomal RNA
Rfam family: Bacterial small subunit ribosomal RNA
Source: RNAcentral
GACGAACGCUGGCGGCGUGCCUAAUACAUGCAAGUCGAGCGCAGGAAACUGACGGAACUCUUCGGAGGGAAGGCAGUGGAAUGAGCGGCGGACGGGUGAGUAACACGUAAGGAACCUGCCUCAAGGAUUGGGAUAACUCCGAGAAAUCGGAGCUAAUACCGGAUAGUUCAACGGACCGCAUGGUCCGUUGAUGAAAGGCGCUCCGGCGUAACUGUGAGAUGGGCUGGAGUUGCAUUAGCUAGUUGGUGGGGUAACGGCUCACCAAGGCGACGAUGCAUAGCCGACCUGAGAGGGUGAUCGGCCACACUGGGACUGAGACACGGCCCAGACUCCUACGGGAGGCAGCAGUAGGGAAUCUUCCACAAUGGACGAAAGUCUGAUGGAGCAACGCCGCGUGAGUGAUGAAGGUUUUCGGAUCGUAAAACUCUGUUGUAAGGGAAGAACACGUACGAGAGGAAAUGCUCGUACCUUGACGGUACCUUACGAGAAAGCCACGGCUAACUACGUGCCAGCCGCCGCCGUAA